UUAAAGUAGCAUAAUACUUUGAUUAGUAGUUAUGUUUUACUUAUCGAAUAUUAAAGAAAAAAAAAGAAAAAAGAAAAAAUGAAUUACUAUUUAUUAAGUAAUAUAAUUCGUGAAGUUAAUUAAAAAAUCUAAUACUAAUGAUUCACUAAAUAAAUAAUAAUUAAAAUGUAAUUACUAAUUUAACUAAUUAAAAAGGCAAAUAUAUUAUUUAAUUACUAAAAAUAAAAUUUUAAAAAAUU
Molecule: long non-coding RNA, 239 nt
Filed under: Prunus persica (peach)
Lineage: Eukaryota; Viridiplantae; Streptophyta; Magnoliopsida; Rosales; Rosaceae
Description: long non-coding RNA (PPER_LNC002955)
Source: RNAcentral